This 100-nucleotide transfer RNA is filed under the name Candidatus Woesearchaeota archaeon. RNAcentral's name for it is "tRNA-Leu". It matches the Rfam family "tRNA". Rfam says of the family: Transfer RNA (tRNA) molecules are approximately 80 nucleotides in length. Lineage: Archaea; Nanobdellati; Candidatus Woesearchaeota. The record is from RNAcentral.
GCGGGGAUGCCGGAGUGGCCAAACGGGUAUGGCUUAGGUCACUUUUUGUAAGAUACCAUAUGGCUUAGUGCCUACGGGGGUUCGAAUCCUCCUCCCCGCA